AACGCUAGCUACAGGCUUAACACAUGCAAGUCGAGGGGAAACGACAUCGAAAGCUUGCUUUUGGUGGGCGUCGACCGGCGCACGGGUGAGUAACGCGUAUCCAACCUGCCCACCACUUGGGGAUAACCUUGCGAAAGUAAGACUAAUACCCAAUGAUAUCCCACGAAGGCAUCCGAAUGGGAUUAAAGAUUUAUCGGUGAUGGAUGGGGAUGCGUCUGAUUAGCUUGUUGGCGGGGUAACGGCCCACCAAGGCUACGAUCAGUAGGGGUUCUGAGAGGAAGGUCCCCCACAUUGGAACUGAGACACGGUCCAAACUCCUACGGGAGGCAGCAGUGAGGAAUAUUGGUCAAUGGGCGGAAGCCUGAACCAGCCAAGUAGCGUGAGGGAUGACUGCCCUAUGGGUUGUAAACCUCUUUUAUAAGGGAAUAAAAUACGGGACGUGUCCUGUUUUGCAUGUACCUUAUGAAUAAGGACCGGCUAAUUCCGUGCCAGCAGCCGCGGUAAUACGGAAGGUCCGGGCGUUAUCCGGAUUUAUUGGGUUUAAAGGGAGCGCAGGCGGUCUUAUAAGCGUGACGUGAAAUGCAGCGGCUCAACCGUAUGAUGUGCGUCGCGAACUGUGAGACUUGAGUGUAUUCGAUGUCAGCGGAAUUUGUGGUGUAGCGGUGAAAUGCUUAGAUAUCACGAAGAACUCCGAUUG
Molecule: ribosomal RNA, 697 nt
Filed under: uncultured bacterium
Lineage: Bacteria
Description: bacterial SSU rRNA
Rfam family: Bacterial small subunit ribosomal RNA
Source: RNAcentral